AACGAACGCUGGCGGCAGGCCUAACACAUGCAAGUCGAACGGGUCCUUCGGGACUAGUGGCGGACGGGUGAGUAACGCGUGGGAACGUGCCCUUUGGUUCGGAAUAGCCCCGGGAAACUGGGAGUAAUACCGGAUAAGCUCUUCGGAGGAAAGAUUUAUCGCCAAAGGAUCGGCCCGCGUUGGAUUAGGUAGUUGGUGGGGUAAUGGCCUACCAAGCCGACGAUCCAUAGCUGGUUUGAGAGGAUGAUCAGCCACACUGGGACUGAGACACGGCCCAGACUCCUACGGGAGGCAGCAGUGGGGAAUCUUAGACAAUGGGGGAAACCCUGAUCUAGCCAUGCCGCGUGAUCGAUGAAGGCCUUAGGGUUGUAAAGAUCUUUCAGCUGGGAAGAUAAUGACUGUACCAGCAGAAGAAGCCCCGGCUAACUCCGUGCCAGCCGCCGCCGUAA
RNAcentral lists this ribosomal RNA (449 nucleotides) under uncultured bacterium. RNAcentral describes it as "partial 16S ribosomal RNA". It matches the Rfam family "Bacterial small subunit ribosomal RNA", at positions 29 to 523 of the family's 1533-position model. The record is from RNAcentral.